This 245-nucleotide ribosomal RNA is filed under the name uncultured Ehrlichia sp. RNAcentral describes it as "partial 16S ribosomal RNA". It matches the Rfam family "Bacterial small subunit ribosomal RNA", at positions 524 to 769 of the family's 1533-position model. Lineage: Bacteria; Pseudomonadati; Pseudomonadota; Alphaproteobacteria; Rickettsiales; Anaplasmataceae. The record is from RNAcentral.
UACAGGGGGGACUAGUGUUAUUCGAAAUGACUGGGCGUAAAGGGCACGUAGAUUGUUUAUGAAGUUAAAAGUGAAAGAUCAGAAUAUGAUUUGAGAAAACUUUUAAUACCAUACAACUUGAGUUUGAUAGAAGAUAAUAGAAUUUUCAAGGUGGUGAUAAAAUACGUUAAUCUUGAAAGGAAUUCCAAAGGCGAAAGCAAUUAUCUGGAUCAAAACUGACAUUGAGGUGCGAAAGCAUGGGGAUC